GCGAGAGUCAUGGGAGAGCAGAAGUGGACUGCUUGGAAGAAAUGCUGAAAUGAGAGUGUAUGUUCUGGAAACUUCAGUGGCUGAAGACAGGCAACAUAUGGUAAGGGAGAAGGAUGGAGAAAGAUGAAUUAUGGCUGUUCUCUUAUCAGAUAAACUUGAACAGAGCCAUCUUGCAACCACAGCGCAAUAAUGUGAGGAAGAGAGCCAUCUGCUACAAGGACUGGACCAGAAGGGCAGAAGAAGCCCAGGUGCCUGAUGACUUUGUGGAGCUAACACCAACCUUGGGCUGCUGGACAUGUUGUUACAAAAGGAAAAUAAAACCCUUAAACUGGUUAAGCCAUUGCUUGUUUCGAAUUUCUAUGGCUUGAAGCCAGAUGCAUUCAGGGCAGAGGUACAGAGUCUUGUGCUCAAAUGGGGAAAAAGAAAUGCCUCUCCUUCCCACCUAGAGGUCUGGAAGAAUGGAACUGUUCAUUUCUACUUCUGACUGUGGUGAGACAUUAGAAUCUUCUCAGUCAGGGUUAGGCUCUUGUAAUUUUCAAUGCUUUUUGGUUGAGAUCGACUUAGUGUGUCCCAUUACAGAGAACAUUCCGUGAGGUGGUGUCUGGGAUCCUGCUUUUCCACUUUGGUUCCCACCACACCUUAUUUGUUUAUUAGGUCACAGAUAUUUCUUCAAAGACAUCCAAGCAGUUGAGAGUUACCA
Long non-coding RNA from Manis pentadactyla (Chinese pangolin), 700 nucleotides. RefSeq lists it as uncharacterized. The transcript has 4 exons. The record is from RefSeq and is a predicted model, not a curated record. Lineage: Eukaryota; Metazoa; Chordata; Mammalia; Pholidota; Manidae.